RNAcentral lists this ribosomal RNA (500 nucleotides) under uncultured bacterium. Its description in RNAcentral is "partial 16S ribosomal RNA". It matches the Rfam family "Bacterial small subunit ribosomal RNA", at positions 30 to 523 of the family's 1533-position model. The record is from RNAcentral.
AUUGAACGCUGGCGGAAUGCUUUACACAUGCAAGUCGAACGGCAGCACGGACUUCGGUCUGGUGGCGAGUGGCGAACGGGUGAGUAACAUAUCGGAACGUAUCCAAUAAUGGGGGAUAACUAAGCGAAAGGUUGGCUAAUACCGCAUACGCCCUAAGGAGGAAAGAUAUGACCCUUCGGUCCUGGCGUUAAUGGAGCGGCCGAUAUCUGAUUAGCUAGUUGGUGGGGUAAAGGCCCACCAAGGCGACGAUCAGUAGCCGGUCUGAGAGGACGACCAGCCACGCUGGAACUGAGACACGGUCCAGACUCCUACGGGAGGCAGCAGUGGGGAAUGUUGGACAAUGGGCGCAAGCCUGAUCCAGCCAUUCCGCGUGAGUGAAGAAGGCCUUCGGGUUGUAAAGCUCUUUCGCAAGGGAAGAAAACUUAGCCUCUAACAUAGGCUGAGGUUGACGGUACCCUGAUAAGAAGCACCGGCUAACUACGUGCCAGCAGCCGCGGUAA